RNAcentral lists this unclassified non-coding RNA (292 nucleotides) under uncultured fungus. RNAcentral describes it as "partial contains 5.8S ribosomal RNA, internal transcribed spacer 2, and large subunit ribosomal RNA". The record is from RNAcentral. Lineage: Eukaryota; Fungi.
AACGCAUAUUGCACUCUUUGGUAUUCCGAAGAGUAUGCUUGUUUCAGUAUCAUGAAAAUCUCACAAUUUUCAGUUUCUUAGUUGAAAAUAUGUGGACUUGGAUUUGCGACUUACCCGAGUUGCUGAUCUGAAAUAGAUUUCAUGAAGCUCAAAUGCUUUUAAUCUUUGCUUAAUAGUUUUGCUUUGUCAAAUCUUUUGCAUUGAUUUUAAAAGCGAAAAAGUGAAUUGAUUUUACGAAAAAUUAAUAUCAUUUUUUGAUCUGAAAUCAAGUAGGACUACCCGCUGAACUUAA